CAGCUGGACUCAGUUUAGAUGAUCCCAAUUUUGGUGGCAACAUCCAAACGAUCAUAGUCAGGAUCCAGUCCAACACAUGCCUUCUUUUCUCCACCAGGCCUGAUCAGAGUGUUGACCUUGGCCAUGUCAAUGUCAUAGAGCUUCUUCACAGACUGUUUGAUCUGGUGCUUGUUGGUUUAGACAUCCACAAUGAACACAAGUGUGUUGUGGUCUUCUAUUUUCUUCUCGGCUGACUCGGUAGUCGGGGGGAACUUGAUGGCAUAGGGGUCAAGCUUGAUUCUCCUGGGGGUGCUCUUUGGAGGAUAUUGGGCUGCCUUUGGAGAUGCGGUAUCUUGGGCCGUCAGAAUGUAGGUGACCUCAGGAUCUUUUUUUAAAAAAUCACUGUGGGGGCGCCUGGGUGGCGCAGUCGGUUAAGCAUCUGACUUCAGCCAGGUCACGAUCUCACGGUCCGUCGGGCUCUGGGCGGAUGGCUCGGAGCCUGGAGCCUGUUUCCGAUUCUGUGUCUCCCUCUCUCUCUGCCCCUCCCCCGUUCAUGCUCUGUCUCUCUGUCCCAAAAAUAAAUAAAACCGUUGAAAAAAAAAAUUAAAAAAAAAAAUGACUGUGGAUGCCUUCCAGCACCGCUUUCUUGGCCUUCAGAACCUUUGCUUCGGUUUUGGCUUUGGCUUCGACUUUGGGAGGGGGAGGGGCUUCCUUCUUCACCUUUGGUACCAUCUUGGUGAAAACG
RNAcentral lists this long non-coding RNA (724 nucleotides) under Lynx pardinus (Iberian lynx). The record is from RNAcentral. Lineage: Eukaryota; Metazoa; Chordata; Mammalia; Carnivora; Felidae.